GGGGGCAUAGCCCAACUGGCAGAGGCACGGGACUUAAAAUCCCGCCAGUGUGGGUUCGAAUCCCACUGCCCCUA
Molecule: transfer RNA, 74 nt
Filed under: Chloroflexota bacterium
Lineage: Bacteria; Bacillati; Chloroflexota
Description: tRNA-Leu
Rfam family: tRNA
About the family: Transfer RNA (tRNA) molecules are approximately 80 nucleotides in length. Their secondary structure includes four short double-helical elements and three loops (D, anti-codon, and T loops). Further hydrogen bonds mediate the characteristic L-shaped molecular structure. tRNAs have two regions of fundamental functional importance: the anti-codon, which is responsible for specific mRNA codon recognition, and the 3' end, to which the tRNAs corresponding amino acid is attached (by aminoacyl-tRNA synthetases). tRNAs cope with the degeneracy of the genetic code in two manners: having more than one tRNA (with a specific anti-codon) for a particular amino acid; and 'wobble' base-pairing, i.e. permitting non-standard base-pairing at the 3rd anti-codon position.
Source: RNAcentral